AAAUACUAGGGGUGCUUUUUAGCUGAGAGAAUAAACUAUCGUAUUCAACCCUUUGAACCUGAUGUGGUUAGUACCAAUGUAGGGAAGUGAGCUUGUU
RNAcentral lists this non-coding RNA (97 nucleotides) under uncultured Clostridium sp. RNAcentral's name for it is "TPP riboswitch (THI element)". The stretch from base 4 to 89 matches the Rfam family "TPP riboswitch aptamer (THI element)", at positions 7 to 92 of the family's 105-position model. Rfam says of the family: Vitamin B(1) in its active form thiamin pyrophosphate (TPP) is an essential coenzyme that is synthesised by coupling of pyrimidine and thiazole moieties in bacteria. The previously detected thiamin-regulatory element, thi box was extended, resulting in a new, highly conserved RNA secondary structure, the THI element, which is widely distributed in eubacteria and also occurs in some archaea. Analysis of operon structures identified a large number of new candidate thiamin-regulated genes, mostly transporters, in various prokaryotic organisms. The record is from RNAcentral. Lineage: Bacteria; Bacillati; Bacillota; Clostridia; Eubacteriales; Clostridiaceae.